ACUCGAGUGGCGAACGGGUGAGUAACACGUGGGUGAUCUGCCCUGCACUUCGGGAUAAGCUUGGGAAACUUGGUCUAAUACCGGAUAGGAGCCAUCUUUAGUGUGGUGGUUGGAAAGUUUUUCGGUGUAGGAUGAGCUCGCGGCCUAUCAGCUUGUUGGUGGGGUAAUGGCCUACCAAGGCGGCGACGGGUAGCCGGACUGAGAGGUUGGUCGGCCACAUUGGGACUGAGAUACGGCCCAG
This 241-nucleotide ribosomal RNA is filed under the name uncultured Actinomycetales bacterium. RNAcentral describes it as "partial 16S ribosomal RNA". It matches the Rfam family "Bacterial small subunit ribosomal RNA", at positions 89 to 334 of the family's 1533-position model. Lineage: Bacteria; Bacillati; Actinomycetota; Actinomycetes; Actinomycetales. The record is from RNAcentral.